Molecule: ribosomal RNA, 377 nt
Filed under: uncultured bacterium
Lineage: Bacteria
Description: bacterial SSU rRNA
Rfam family: Bacterial small subunit ribosomal RNA
Source: RNAcentral
AUACGUAGGUGGCAAGCGUUGUCCGGAAUUAUUGGGCGUAAAGCGCGCGCAGGCGGUCCUUUAAGUCUGAUGUGAAAGCCCACGGCUCAACCGUGGAGGGUCAUUGGAAGCUGGGGGACUUGAGUACAGAAGAGAAGAGUGGAAUUCCACGUGUAGCGGUGAAAUGCGUAGAGAUGUGGAGGAACACCAGUGGCGAAGGCGACUCUUUGGUCUGUAACUGACGCUGAGGCGCGAAAGCGUGGGGAGCAAACAGGAUUAGAUACCCUGGUAGUCCACGCUGUAAACGAUGAGUGCUAAGUGUUAGAGGGUUUCCGCCCUUUAGUGCUGCAGCUAACGCAUUAAGCACUCCGCCUGGGGAGUACGGCCGCAAGGCUGAA